GAUGAAGAACGUAGCGAAAUGCGAUAAGUAAUGUGAAUUGCAGAAUUCAGUGAAUCAUCGAAUCUUUGAACGCACAUUGCGCCCGCCAGUAUUCUGGCGGGCAUGCCUGUCCGAGCGUCAUUUCAACCCUCGAGCCCCUCCGGGGGGUCGGCGUUGGGGAUCGGCCCCUCACCGGGCCGCCCCCGAAAUACAGUGGCGGUCUCGCCGCAGCCUCUCCUGCGCAGUAGUUUGCACACUCGCACCGGGAGCGCGGCGCGGCCACAGCCGUAAAACACCCCAAGCAUUCUGAAAUGUUGACCUCGGAUCAGGUAGGAAUACCCGCUGAACUUAAGCAUAUCAAUAAGCGGAGGA
Molecule: unclassified non-coding RNA, 351 nt
Filed under: soil metagenome
Description: partial contains 5.8S ribosomal RNA, internal transcribed spacer 2, and large subunit ribosomal RNA
Rfam family: 5.8S ribosomal RNA (bases 1-120)
Source: RNAcentral